Molecule: long non-coding RNA, 2087 nt
Filed under: Heterocephalus glaber (naked mole-rat)
Lineage: Eukaryota; Metazoa; Chordata; Mammalia; Rodentia; Bathyergidae
Description: lncRNA (ENSHGLG00100042627.1)
Source: RNAcentral
GGGCCUCCUUACCUCACCCUAUAAAUCUUCCAGAGGCAUGCCACUUCCCUUCUGUAGUAGUUAGGCUUCUCUAGAGGAACAGAGUCAUUAGAAAAUGUGUGCAGGGGGGACUUAGUAGGUAGCGUAAGGGAUCAGAGGUGAAAGGAUCCACAGAGGCUGUCUGCACACCAGAAAGCAGAGGACCCAGGAGUUCCUCAGACCAAGAAACUGGAUGAGGCAGACCAAGAGGGACCAAGGAUCCAGGCCCCCUCCAAAGUGGAAGGCCUGCGAGCUGCCUGCGGAGUCUCCAGUGAGAGUCUGCACCGGGAGGCUGAAGAAACGGGAGACCAAUGUCCAAAGGCGACUAGAGCUCUUCCAACAUGGCAGCACUUCCUUUUCCUUUCCCUUUUUAUUCCAUCCAGGCUACAAGUCUAUUGGUCAGUGCCAACCACAUUCUGAGUAGGUCUUCCCCCUCAGUUUGCUAGCCUCUAUGUCAGUCAUCCACAGACACGCCCACAGCUGGGCUUUACUCAUCUGCCAGGCAGUUCUUACUCAGGAAGCCACUUUGACACAGCAUGGUCAAUGGUUAUAUCCUCUCAUGGAGAUUGCAGUCAACCUACACCCAACUCCAGACACAAUCUCAACCAUCUACCCAGUAUUUCCACCUGUGUUCCCUCCGCACACAUCAAACUCAUCAUCAUGAGUUGGGGACAUGACACUUCUUCUCAUGACCCCCUUCCGGUGCUGGAGCAGGACACACAAUGCACAGUCGAAGGCCGCUGAGCACAGUGACAUUUCCCAAAGUGUGCUCCUCAGGCUAGCAGCACCCAUGCCUCCUGCAAAGUUAUAAGCAAUGCAGAUCCUCAGGCCCCACCUAGGCGAAAGGAACCGGAGCUCCAGGCUGCUGCAGGGACCUGUGCUUGCAUCAUCCUGACACAGUGACCUCUCAGAGCCCCGGCUGGGAAAUGGGCCGCCAGGCCUCAGACCAGACAUAGCUGGGCCUGCUGGGCCCCACACAGUAGCCUCCUCAGGAAAGAAGACUCCAGAGCUGCUGCAGGAAGUAGCAAGAACUAUUGGAUAAAGCUGGCUGGAGGACUGCUAGGUGCUGACCCGGGGUGGCUCACUCAGAAGCCCAUGAGGGAACAGUAAAAUGCCCGGACUGGUAUAGCCCCGAGGCUACUGCCCAGGGAAGGAUGGGUCUGGUGUCCAGGGACUGUCAGGCUGAUCCACGUCAGAUCUCAUGCGAAUAAGGGGCAGAAACCCAUGAGAUAACAGAAAACAGAGAUCCUCUGAGAGCCAAAGGUUUUACAGUGAAGGAGAGAAAAAACAGAGAAUUGGUUCUGGAGCUCUGUUGGCAGCUUCCCAGCUGUGGGCAUGACCUGUGUUUUAUUCUCUCUCUCUCUCAAGGAGCUGCAACAUCAUGGCAAUGAUCUGACCGCGGGCCCAGGACUCAGGCUGCCUGCAUUCAGGGGCAGCUUUGUGUUUCCAGCUCAUCAGCCCUGCAUUCAUCACUUCACUAACUUCUCUCCAUGCUUUGCCUCCUGCCUGGAACAGUGCUCGGUAAACAUUGGCUACAUGGACUCCUGGUUCUGUCUCCAGUCCUCAGUGCUCCUGUAUCAGCCACAGUACUGGUUCCGCUGGCCUGUUCUCAGUUGCCCAUACUCGGUGAGGUAGAAUGUAGGAAGCCUUAAUUAUGAAUUCGGAGACAAGCCCUGCCACCCUUGGAGGAGGACAUGGAAGGCAGCUAUGCUCACCACUAUACCACCAACGCGAGGAGGACAUGGGAUACGCAAUCUAUUUGCUUUACAUAAGGUGGAGAAGGAAAGAUGCCCACUUAACAUUUUUCUCCAAGGGCUGUGGUUCCCGUGUUGUCCCUUCCUUGGCUGUUCGGAGUUGAAUGCCUCCUCUCCACCACCUUUGCCCCGGGCCGCCAUUGUUCCUCUAAGCUUCUCUCCUUGCUUUGGUUUUAUGUAGAUUUUGUAUUGUAGUUGAUCUUUCAUGGGCAGAGAGCAAUGAAUUAAAGUCUCAUAUUUCUGAUGUGUUUCUGUUCGUUCUCCUAAUAGCUCCCAUGGUUGCUGCUUUAUGAAUUUUGAUGCUGUGUUAUUUGG